RNAcentral lists this ribosomal RNA (468 nucleotides) under uncultured bacterium. RNAcentral describes it as "partial 16S ribosomal RNA". It matches the Rfam family "Bacterial small subunit ribosomal RNA", at positions 28 to 507 of the family's 1533-position model. The record is from RNAcentral.
GACGAACGCUGGCGGCGUGCUUAACACAUGCAAGUCGAACGGAAAGGCCCUGCUUUUGUGGGGUGCUCGAGUGGCGAACGGGUGAGUAACACGUGAGUAACCUGCCCUUGACUUUGGGAUAACUUCAGGAAACUGGGGCUAAUACCGGAUAGGAGCUCCUGCUGCAUGGUGGGGGUUGGAAAGUUUCGGCGGUUGGGGAUGGACUCGCGGCUUAUCAGCUUGUUGGUGGGGUAGUGGCUUACCAAGGCUUUGACGGGUAGCCGGCCUGAGAGGGUGACCGGCCACAUUGGGACUAAGAUACGGCCCAGACUCCUACGGGAGGCAGCAGUGGAGAAUAUUGCACAAUGGGCGGAAGCCUGAUGCAGCAACGCCGCGUGCGGGAUGACGGCCUUCGGGUUGUAAACCGCUUUCGCCUGUGACGAAGCGUGAGUGACGGUAAUGGGUAAAGAAGCACCGGCUAACUACGUG